This 465-nucleotide ribosomal RNA is filed under the name Vreelandella stevensii. RNAcentral's name for it is "partial 16S ribosomal RNA". It matches the Rfam family "Bacterial small subunit ribosomal RNA", at positions 338 to 795 of the family's 1533-position model. The record is from RNAcentral. Lineage: Bacteria; Pseudomonadati; Pseudomonadota; Gammaproteobacteria; Oceanospirillales; Halomonadaceae.
CCUACGGGCGGCAGCAGUGGGGAAUAUUGGACAAUGGGCGAAAGCCUGAUCCAGCCAUGCCGCGUGUGUGAAGAAGGCCUUCGGGUUGUAAAGCACUUUCAGGGGGGAAGAAAGCCUUGGGGCUAAUACCCUCGAGGAAGGACAUCACCCACAGAAGAAGCACCGGCUAACUCCGUGCCAGCAGCCGCGGUAAUACGGAGGGUGCGAGCGUUAAUCGGAAUUACUGGGCGUAAAGCGCGCGUAGGCGGUCUGAUAAGCCGGUUGUGAAAGCCCCGGGCUCAACCUGGGAACGGCAUCCGGAACUGUCAGGAGAGAGUGCAGGAGAGGAAGGUAGAACUCCCGGUGUAGCGGUGAAAUGCGUAGAGAUCGGGAGGAAUACCAGUGGCGAAGGCGGCCUUCUGGACUGACACUGACGCUGAGGUGCGAAAGCGUGGGUAGCAAACAGGAUUAGAUACCCUAGUAGUC